RNAcentral lists this ribosomal RNA (253 nucleotides) under uncultured bacterium. RNAcentral's name for it is "partial 16S ribosomal RNA". It matches the Rfam family "Bacterial small subunit ribosomal RNA", at positions 524 to 776 of the family's 1533-position model. The record is from RNAcentral.
UACGUAGGGGGCAAGCGUUGUCCGGAAUCAUUGGGCGUAAAGCGCGUGUAGGCGGCCCGGUAAGUCCGCUGUGAAAGUCGGGGGCUCAACCCUCGAAUGCCGGUGGAUGCUGUCGGGCUAGAGUGCGGGAGAGGCGAGUGGAAUUCCUGGUGUAGCGGUGAAAUGCGCAGAUAUCAGGAGGAACACCAAUUGCGAAGGCAGCUCGCUGGGACGUUACUGACGCUGAGACGCGAAAGCGUGGGGAGCAAACAGG